Molecule: ribosomal RNA, 252 nt
Filed under: uncultured bacterium
Lineage: Bacteria
Description: partial 16S ribosomal RNA
Rfam family: Bacterial small subunit ribosomal RNA
Source: RNAcentral
UACGUAGGGGGCAAGCGUUGUCCGGAAUUAUUGGGCGUAAAGCGCGCGCAGGCGGUUUAUUAAGUUCGGUGUUAAGCCCCAGGGCUCAACCCUGGUUCGCACUGGAAACUGGUAGACUAGAGUGUAGGAGAGGAAAGUGGAAUUCCACGUGUAGCAGUGAAAUGCGUAGAGAUGUGGAGGAAUACCGAUGGCGAAGGCAGCCCCCUGGCCAAUACGUGACGCUCAUGCACGAAAGCGUGGGGAGCAAACAGG